Molecule: ribosomal RNA, 497 nt
Filed under: uncultured bacterium
Lineage: Bacteria
Description: partial 16S ribosomal RNA
Rfam family: Bacterial small subunit ribosomal RNA
Source: RNAcentral
GAUGAACGCUGGCGGCGUGCCUAAUACAUGCAAGUCGAGCGAACGGACGAGAAGCUUGCUUCUCUGAUGUUAGCGGCGGACGGGUGAGUAACACGUGGAUAACCUACCUAUCAGACUGGGAUAACUUCGGGAAACCGUAGCUAAUACCGGAUAAUAUUUUGAACCGCAUGGUUCAAAGGUGAAAGACGGUCUUGCUGUCACUUAUAGAUGGAUCCGCGCUGCAUUAGCUAGUUGGUAAGGUAACGGCUUACCAAGGCAACGAUGCAUAGCCGACCGGAGAGGGUGAUCGGCCACACGGGAACUGAGACGCGGUCCAGACUCCUACGGGAGGCAGCAGUAGGGAAUCGUCCGCAAUGGGCGAAAGCCUUACGGAACAACGCCGCGUGAGUGAUGAAGGUCUUCGGAUCGUAAAACUCGGUUAUGAGUGAAGAACAGAUGUGUAAGUAACUGUGCACAUCUUGACGGUACCUAAUCAGAAAGCCACGGCUAACUACGUG